GCAUCGAUGAAGAACGCAGCGAAAUGCGAUAAGUAAUGUGAAUUGCAGAAUUCAGUGAAUCAUCGAAUCUUUGAACGCACCUUGCGCUCCUUGGUAUUCCGAGGAGCAUGCCUGUUUGAGUGUCGUGAAUAUCUCAACUCAUCCGGUUUUUAUUAACUGUGGUGGGCUUGGACUUGGAGGUAUGCUGGCUGACUAGUCGGCUCCUCUCUAAAUGUAUUAGCUGGACCUGUUACGGAUCAGUACUCGGUGUGAUAAUUGUCUACGCCGUGUCUGUGAAGUGCUUGAAUGGACUAGCUUCUAACCGUCUUCGGACAACUACUGACAUUUUGACCUCAAAUCAGGUAGGAUUACCCGCUGAACUUAAGCAUAUCAAUAAGCGGAGGA
Molecule: ribosomal RNA, 384 nt
Filed under: uncultured fungus
Lineage: Eukaryota; Fungi
Description: eukaryotic LSU rRNA
Rfam family: 5.8S ribosomal RNA (bases 1-125)
Source: RNAcentral